This 957-nucleotide unclassified non-coding RNA is filed under the name Staphylococcus epidermidis. Its description in RNAcentral is "contains 16S-23S intergenic spacer region". It matches the Rfam family "Bacterial small subunit ribosomal RNA", at positions 59 to 999 of the family's 1533-position model. The record is from RNAcentral. Lineage: Bacteria; Bacillati; Bacillota; Bacilli; Caryophanales; Staphylococcaceae.
CAGUCGAGCGACGGACGAGAAGCUUGCUUCUCUGAUGUUAGCGGCGGACGGGUGAGUAACACGUGGAUAACCUACCUAUAAGACUGGGAUAACUUCGGGAAACCGGAGCUAAUACCGGAUAAUAUUUUGAACCGCAUGGUUCAAAAGUGAAAGACGGUCUUGCUGUCACUUAUAGAUGGAUCCGCGCUGCAUUAGCUAGUUGGUAAGGUAACGGCUUACCAAGGCAACGAUGCAUAGCCGACCUGAGAGGGUGAUCGGCCACACUGGAACUGAGACACGGUCCAGACUCCUACGGGAGGCAGCAGUAGGGAAUCUUCCGCAAUGGGCGAAAGCCUGACGGAGCAACGCCGCGUGAGUGAUGAAGGUCUUCGAUCGUAAAACUCUGUUAUUAGGGAAGAACAAAUGUGUAAGUAACUAUGCACGUCUUGACGGUACCUAAUCAGAAAGCCACGGCUAACUACGUGCCAGCAGCCGCGGUAAUACGUAGGUGGCAAGCGUUAUCCGGAAUUAUUGGGCGUAAAGCGCGCGUAGGCGGUUUUUUAAGUCUGAUGUGAAAGCCCACGGCUCAACCGUGGAGGGUCAUUGGAAACUGGAAAACUUGAGUGCAGAAGAGGAAAGUGGAAUUCCAUGUGUAGCGGUGAAAUGCGCAGAGAUAUGGAGGAACACCAGUGGCGAAGGCGACUUUCUGGUCUGUAACUGACGCUGAUGUGCGAAAGCGUGGGGAUCAAACAGGAUUAGAUACCCUGGUAGUCCACGCCGUAAACGAUGAGUGCUAAGUGUUAGGGGGUUUCCGCCCCUUAGUUCUGCAGCUAACGCAUUAAGCACUCCGCCUGGGGAGUACGACCGCAAGGUUGAAACUCAAAGGAAUUGACGGGGACCCGCACAAGCGGUGGAGCAUGUGGUUUAAUUCGAAGCAACGCGAAGAACCUUACCAAAUCUUGACAUCCUUUGACAACU